UCCUUGGUGGCUCAGAUGGUAAAGAGUCUGCCUGCAGUGCAGGAGACCCAGGUUCCAUCCCUGGGUUGGGAA
This 72-nucleotide transfer RNA is filed under the name Bos taurus (domestic cattle). It matches the Rfam family "tRNA". Rfam says of the family: Transfer RNA (tRNA) molecules are approximately 80 nucleotides in length. Their secondary structure includes four short double-helical elements and three loops (D, anti-codon, and T loops). Lineage: Eukaryota; Metazoa; Chordata; Mammalia; Artiodactyla; Bovidae. RNAcentral also lists the same sequence under 5 other names. The record is from Rfam by way of RNAcentral.